Molecule: long non-coding RNA, 1564 nt
Organism: Amborella trichopoda
Lineage: Eukaryota; Viridiplantae; Streptophyta; Magnoliopsida; Amborellales; Amborellaceae
Source: RefSeq, a predicted model, not a curated record
UUAGUGUUUGAUAACAGAAAAUUGCUUUCUAGAAUUGAAAAAGUAAGUUCAUAUCAAAACUGCCCCCGAUAAAAUUGUGCCCUAGGGUUUACUCAGCCGCUCACCCACCCCUGUCUUUGCAAUCCACUGCAAAAGUUCUCUUUCUCUCUCUCUCUCUCUCUUCUCCAGUAAAAGCAGCCUCUCGUCCAGUACUAUUCGUGGCCUUGCAACCUCAACAAAUACUUCCAAUCAAUUGUUUUGGUAAUGGUGUAAGGCUGGAUCUCCUUAGUCUUCACCAAUCUGGACCCUUUAUGGGCUUUGAACACCACCACUCUGAUCCCAAACCUAUCAGACUAUGAGACCACCAUCCCCAACUUCUUCGAGUUCUGUGAUACCAAGCACAGGGACUAUUGUCCAUGCCAUGACACCAAGAGAGAAAAGAAAUUUGACACCCAUAUGUUAUUUUUCAAAGACUAUUCACAUCAAAUGAGUGUUAUUGGUUUUAGUUUUGUAGGACUUCUGUCAAGAAACUUUAGUUUCUGGCAAUGGUCAUAGUCAAAUUUGGAAAUUGGAAGGUGGUUUCGGGUUCAUAAUAAAUGAAGAUUUUGUUUCAGUGCUCUUAUUGAACACUAAUUUCCGAAGUGAUCAACUUUACUUUCAUGGCUAAUUAAAAUGUUUGUCGUUUUUUCUGUAUUUCUGUUUAACUAAUCCAUGUCACAUCCUUUUUUGAGAAAUUGCUCGGAUUUUGUUUGGAUGGCAAUUCAAUUCAUUCAUUAACCUUUUCAAUGCCCUUUAGAAAAUUAUUGAUGAGUUAUUGAGAAUAUUAUGCUCUCUUUUGUUAUGCUUUAUUUAUGGUUCAAUAGUACAGGGUGGUUAUAUUUCUGGUUGAGCAUGUGCAUUUCCAAUAUUGUCUUUUAUGCAUCCUUGGGGAACUUUUGUGUGCUAAAUGCUAAAAAGUUCAACAUGUUGAAUUGUGAUCAAUGCAUUCUUAUUCUGAUCUUUGAAUUGUGGUCAAAUGCUAAACAAUUAUGCAUUCUCGCUGUUGUAGAACUUGGUUACUGGAUUGUACUUUGAGCUUCCAAUGAUUACUAAAAUUCAUUGUGGUACUUUGUUCACGAUUAUUGAUUCUCUUCCAUAGUUCUCUUUUGAUUCUCAUUAGUCACGAUUCAUGAUUCUAAUUAGUCAGAAUUCAUGAUUUUCUGAAAACCUGUGAAGUUUAGUUGCUAUUGCUUACUAGCUUGCUUGUUUUCAUUCCUGAAUUUGUUCUUCACUCAAUGGUUUCAUGUGUUCCAAGUAUUUAUUGAAAUUGCUUUGCUAUUUUUUUUUUUGAAAUUGCUUUGAUAUAUAACUAUGAUGUGGGCUCAUGAAAUCUAAUAUAUUUUUUCUAUGAUACACAACUAUGACGUGGGUUUGUAAAUAAAAUGCUGAACCUUACUGGAAUUAAGAAUAAUCUUACUUACCUUUUUGUUAUUUUUUAUUUUUGGGUUUGUUCAGUGUUACUUAGCUCCAAUAAUGAAUGUUGUAGUUACCAUGCUCCUUUUGUUACCUUUCUAUUUUUAAUGAAUAAUGCUUAUGGGUUCAUGAA